GAUCAUGGCUCAGGAUGAACGCUAGCUACAGGCUUAACACAUGCAAGUCGAGGGGAAACGAUAUUGGAAGCUUGCUUCCGAUAGGCGUCGACCGGCGCACGGGUGAGUAAUGCGUAUCCAACCUGCCCACCACUUGGGGAUAACCUUGCGAAAGUAAGACUAAUACCCAAUGAUAUCUCUAGAAGACAUCUGAAAGAGAUUAAAGAUUCAUCGGUGAUGGAUGUGGAUGCG
Molecule: ribosomal RNA, 231 nt
Filed under: uncultured bacterium
Lineage: Bacteria
Description: partial 16S ribosomal RNA
Rfam family: Bacterial small subunit ribosomal RNA
Source: RNAcentral